AAAUUGAAUAGUUUGAUCAUGGCUCAGAUUGAACGCUGGCGGCAGGCCUAACACAUGCAAGUCGAACGGUAACAGGAAGCAGCUUGGUGGUUCGGUGACGAGUGGCGGACGGGUGAGUAAUGUCUGGGAAACUGCCUGAUGGAGGGGGAUAACUACUGGAAACGGUGGCUAAUACCGCAUAACGUCGCAAGACCAAAGAGGGGGACCUUCGGGCCUCUUGCCAUCAGAUGUGCCCAGAUGGGAUUAGCUAGUUGGUGAGGUAACGGCUCACCAAGGCGACGAUCCCUAGCUGGUCUGAGAGGAUGACCAGCCACACUGGAACUGAGACACGGUCCAGACUCCUACGGGAGGCAGCAGUGGGGAAUAUUGCACAAUGGGCGCAAGCCUGAUGCAGCCAUGCCGCGUGUAUGAAGAAGGCCUUCGGGUUGUAAAGUACUUUCAGCGGGGAGGAAGGUGUUGUGGUUAAUAACCGCAGCAAUUGACGUUACCCGCAGAAGAAGCACCGGCUAACUCCGUGCCAGCAGCCGCGGUAAUACGGAGGGUGCAAGCGUUAAUCGGAAUUACUGGGCGUAAAGCGCACGCAGGCGGUCUGUCAAGUCGGAUGUGAAAUCCCCGGGCUCAACCUGGGAACUGCAUUCGAAACUGGCAGGCUUGAGUCUUGUAGAGGGGGGUAGAAUUCCAGGUGUAGCGGUGAAAUGCGUAGAGAUCUGGAGGAAUACCGGUGGCGAAGGCGGCCCCCUGGACAAAGACUGACGCUCAGGUGCGAAAGCGUGGGGAGCAAACAGGAUUAGAUACCCUGGUAGUCCACGCCGUAAACGAUGUCUACUUGGAGGUUGUGCCCUUGAGGCGUGGCUUCCGGAGCUAACGCGUUAAGUAGACCGCCUGGGGAGUACGGCCGCAAGGUUAAAACUCAAAUGAAUUGACGGGGGCCCGCACAAGCGGUGGAGCAUGUGGUUUAAUUCGAUGCAACGCGAAGAACCUUACCUGGUCUUGACAUCCACAGAACUUUCCAGAGAUGGAUUGGUGCCUUCGGGAACUGUGAGACAGGUGCUGCAUGGCUGUCGUCAGCUCGUGUUGUGAAAUGUUGGGUUAAGUCCCGCAACGAGCGCAACCCUUAUCCUUUGUUGCCAGCGAUUAGGUCGGGAACUCAAAGGAGACUGCCAGUGAUAAACUGGAGGAAGGUGGGGAUGACGUCAAGUCAUCAUGGCCCUUACGACCAGGGCUACACACGUGCUACAAUGGCGCAUACAAAGAGAAGCGACCUCGCGAGAGCAAGCGGACCUCAUAAAGUGCGUCGUAGUCCGGAUUGGAGUCUGCAACUCGACUCCAUGAAGUCGGAAUCGCUAGUAAUCGUGGAUCAGAAUGCCACGGUGAAUACGUUCCCGGGCCUUGUACACACCGCCCGUCACACCAUGGGAGUGGGUUGCAAAAGAAGUAGGUAGCUUAACCUUCGGGAGGGCGCUUACCACUUUGUGAUUCAUGACUGGGGUGAAGUCGUAACAAGGUAACCGUAGGGGAACCUGCGGUUGGAUCACCUCCUUACCUUAAAGAA
Molecule: ribosomal RNA, 1552 nt
Filed under: Salmonella enterica subsp. enterica
Lineage: Bacteria; Pseudomonadati; Pseudomonadota; Gammaproteobacteria; Enterobacterales; Enterobacteriaceae
Description: bacterial SSU rRNA
Rfam family: Bacterial small subunit ribosomal RNA
Source: RNAcentral